Molecule: ribosomal RNA, 395 nt
Filed under: uncultured bacterium
Lineage: Bacteria
Description: bacterial SSU rRNA
Rfam family: Bacterial small subunit ribosomal RNA
Source: RNAcentral
AUUGAACGCUGGCGGCAGGCCUAACACAUGCAAGUCGAGCGGUAGAGAGGUGCUUGCAUCUCUUGAGAGCGGCGGACGGGUGAGUAAUGCCUAGGAAUCUGCCUAGUGGUGGGGGAUAACGUUCGGAAACGGACGCUAAUACCGCAUACGUCCUACGGGAGAAAGCGGGGGAUCUUCGGACCUCGCGCCAUUAGAUGAGCCUAGGUCGGAUUAGCUAGUUGGUGAGGUAAUGGCUCACCAAGGCGACGAUCCGUAACUGGUCUGAGAGGAUGAUCAGUCACACUGGAACUGAGACACGGUCCAGACUCCUACGGGAGGCAGCAGUGGGGGAAUAUUGGACAAUAGGGCGAAAGGACCUGAUCCAGCCAUNCCGCGUGUGUGAAGAAGGUCUUCGG